This 77-nucleotide transfer RNA is filed under the name Candidatus Odyssella acanthamoebae. RNAcentral describes it as "tRNA-His (GTG) (tRNA-His-GTG-1-1)". It matches the Rfam family "tRNA". From Rfam's summary of the family: Transfer RNA (tRNA) molecules are approximately 80 nucleotides in length. Their secondary structure includes four short double-helical elements and three loops (D, anti-codon, and T loops). The record is from RNAcentral. Lineage: Bacteria; Pseudomonadati; Pseudomonadota; Alphaproteobacteria; Holosporales; Candidatus Paracaedibacteraceae.
GCGGGAAUAGCUCAGUUGGUUAGAGCGCGAGGUUGUGGUUCUCGAGGUCGCCGGUUCAAUCCCGGUUUCUCGCCCCA